This is a microRNA precursor of Oryza sativa Japonica Group (Japanese rice), 196 nucleotides long. It matches the Rfam family "MIR812 microRNA precursor family". The record is from Rfam. Lineage: Eukaryota; Viridiplantae; Streptophyta; Magnoliopsida; Poales; Poaceae.
UUUAAGUGUAACCAUAAGUUUCUGUUGACCAUCUGUCUUAUUUGAAAAAAUUUUAUAAUUAGUAUUUUUAUUGUUACGAGAUGAUAAAACAUGAAUAAUACUUUAUACAUGACUUAUAUUUUUAAUUAUUUUAAAAAAAAAUUCAAAUAAGAUGAACGGUCAAAAUUGUGUACGAAAAAUUAUGUCUGCACUUAGA